RNAcentral lists this ribosomal RNA (253 nucleotides) under uncultured bacterium. Its description in RNAcentral is "partial 16S ribosomal RNA". It matches the Rfam family "Bacterial small subunit ribosomal RNA", at positions 524 to 776 of the family's 1533-position model. The record is from RNAcentral.
UACAGAGGUCUCAAGCGUUGUUCGGAUUCAUUGGGCGUAAAGGGUGCGUAGGCGGCGCGGUAAGUCGGGGGUGAAAGCCCGAGGCUCAACCUCGGAACUGCCUUCGAUACUGCGGGUCUCGAGUCCGGGAGAGGUGAGUGGAAUUCCUAGUGUAGAGGUGAAAUUCGUAGAUAUUAGGAAGAACACCAGUGGCGAAGGCGGCUCACUGGCCCGGUACUGACGCUGAGGCGCGAAAGCGUGGGGAGCAAACAGG